CCUACGGGGGGCAGCAGUGAGGAAUAUUGGUCAAUGGCCGGAAGGCUGAACCAGCCAUGCCGCGUGAAGGUCAGUGCCCUAUGGGCGUUAAACUUCUUUUGUGCGGGAGCAAUAAUGGUCACGUGUGGCCAGACGAGAGUACCGUACGAAUAAGCAUCGGCUAACUCCGUGCCAGCAGCCGCGGUAAUACGGGGGAUGCAAGCGUUAUCAGGAAUUAUUGGGUUUAAAGGGUGCGUAGGCUGGGAGGUAAGUCAGCGGUGAAAUGCCCCCGCUCAACGGGGGGAAGUGCCAUUGAUACUGCAUUGCUGGAAUGCGGAUGCCGGAGGAGGAAUGUUUGGUGUAGCGGUGAAAUGCAUAGAUAUCACACAGAACACCGAUUGCGAAGGCAGCUCACGAAUCCGUGAUUGACGCUGAUGCACGAAAGCGUGGGUAUCAAACAGGAUUAGAUACCCCAGUAGUC
Molecule: ribosomal RNA, 460 nt
Filed under: uncultured bacterium
Lineage: Bacteria
Description: partial 16S ribosomal RNA
Rfam family: Bacterial small subunit ribosomal RNA
Source: RNAcentral